Molecule: ribosomal RNA, 422 nt
Filed under: uncultured bacterium
Lineage: Bacteria
Description: bacterial SSU rRNA
Rfam family: Bacterial small subunit ribosomal RNA
Source: RNAcentral
GGAAUCUUGCGCAAUGGGCGAAAGCCUGACGCAGCGACGCCGCGUGAGGGAAGAAGGCCUUCGGGUUGUAAACCUCUUUCAGGAGGGACGAAGCCACUCGGGUGAACAGCCCAGAGGGUGACUGUACCUCCAGAAGAAGCCCCGGCUAACUACGUGCACGCAGCCGCGGUAAUACGUAGGGGGCAAGCGUUGUCCGGAUUUACUGGGCGUAAAGAGCGUGUAGGCGGCCAGGCAGGUCCGUUGUGAAAACUAGAGGCUCAACCUCUAGACGUCGACGGAAACCGCUUGGCUAGAGUCCGGAAGAGGAGAGUGGAAUUCCUGGUGUAGCGGUGAAAUGCGCAGAUAUCAGGAAGAACACCGAUGGCGAAGGCAGCUCUCUGGGACGGUACUGACGCUGAGACGCGAAAGCGUGGGGAGCGAAC